RNAcentral lists this ribosomal RNA (497 nucleotides) under uncultured bacterium. RNAcentral describes it as "partial 16S ribosomal RNA". It matches the Rfam family "Bacterial small subunit ribosomal RNA", at positions 28 to 507 of the family's 1533-position model. The record is from RNAcentral.
GAUGAACGCUGGCGGCGUGCCUAAUACAUGCAAGUCGAGCGAACGGACGAGAAGCUUGCUUCUCUGAUGUUAGCGGCGGACGGGUGAGUAACACGUGGAUAACCUACCUAUAAGACUGGGAUAACUUCGGGAAACCGGAGCUAAUACCGGAUGAUAUUUUGAACCGCAUGGUUCAAAAGUGAAAGACGGUCUUGCUGUCACUUAUAGAUGGAUCCGCGCUGCAUUAGCUAGUUGGUAAGGUAACGGCUUACCAAGGCAACGAUGCAUAGCCGACCUGAGAGGAUGAUCGGCCACACUGGAACUGAGACACGGUCCAGACUCCUACGGGAGGCAGCAGUAGGGAAUCUUCCGCAAUGGGCGAAAGCCUGACGGAGCAACGCCGCGUGAGUGAUGAAGGUCUUCGGAUCGUAAAACUCUGUUAUUAGGGAAGAACAGAUGUGUAAGUAACUGUGCACAUCUUGACGGUACCUAAUCAGAAAGCAACGGCUAACUACGUG